This 450-nucleotide ribosomal RNA is filed under the name uncultured Glomeromycotina. RNAcentral describes it as "SSU rRNA". It matches the Rfam family "Eukaryotic small subunit ribosomal RNA", at positions 569 to 1024 of the family's 1831-position model. Lineage: Eukaryota; Fungi; Glomeromycota. The record is from RNAcentral.
AGCAGCCGCGGUAAUUCCAGCUCCAAUAGCGUAUAUUAAAGUUGUUGCAGUUAAAAAGCUCGUAGUUGAAUUUCGGGAUCAAUAUAUUGGUCAUGCUUAGGUAUGUACUGGUAUUAUUGAUUUCUCCCUUCUGAAGAACCAUAAUGUCAUUAAUUUGAUGUCAUGGGGAAUCAGGACUGUUACUUUGAAAAAAUUAGAGUGUUUAAAGCAGGCUUUCGCUUGAAUACAUUAGCAUGGAAUAAUGAAAUAGGACGUUUGAUUCUAUUUUGUUGGUUUCUAGGAUCGACGUAAUGAUUAAUAGGGAUAGUUGGGGGCAUUAGUAUUCAAUUGUCAGAGGUGAAAUUCUUGGAUUUAUUGAAGACUAACUACUGCGAAAGCAUUUGCCAAGGAUGUUUUCAUUAAUCAAGAACGAAAGUUAGGGGAUCGAAGACGAUCAGAUACCGUCGUAGU